AGAUCAAAUUGUGUUGAUAGUUAAGAGAGGUUGAAAGGACUUUUUCCGCCCAUAUAUAUCACCUGGGGUGGCCGCACGCCCAGAUUAUGUCCGCCCACCAAGCCAAAAAAAAUACUGAAGCCAAAAAGGGAGGGGGACGUGAAAUCUACGGCAAGCAAAGCGUACGUCCCUGGGCACGUAGUUGCUGUGCAAUCACCGUACAUUUAGAGCGGGGCUCUCCCCUUAUUUUCUCGUCUCAUGGAUGCAGUGCAAUUCCCUUGUCACAUUUGCAGCGCCAGCGUACCUGCAGGCUGCUGCACCGAACCUCGCAUGCAGAUACAGUAUAUGAUGAAUGCUGACGGGUUUGGUUGGUCAGUGUCCGUCUUGCUUGCACGGCAUGCGUACGCAUCACACAGCUCAUGAGCUCAUCGGAAUCUGACGCCAACCGCUAAUGUCAGGAUGCAGGUGCAACAGCAGCAGCAGAUCGCUCUGGUUCC
This 476-nucleotide long non-coding RNA is filed under the name Panicum hallii. Its description in RNAcentral is "long non-coding RNA (PHAL_LNC000138)". Lineage: Eukaryota; Viridiplantae; Streptophyta; Magnoliopsida; Poales; Poaceae. The record is from RNAcentral.